Molecule: unclassified non-coding RNA, 1005 nt
Filed under: Hevea brasiliensis (rubber tree)
Lineage: Eukaryota; Viridiplantae; Streptophyta; Magnoliopsida; Malpighiales; Euphorbiaceae
Source: RNAcentral
GGAUAAUAUAGUUUUUUACUUAGUUAAAGAGAAGUUUUAAAGUGAGUAAAUAAGUUAUAAGUAAGGUAUCUUUACUUAUGGCUUCUGAAUUAUUUUAAGUAGUUUUAACUUAUAAUUGAAGUCAAAUACUAAUCUAUUUAGCUGUAAAAAAGAUUAGUCAAAAGAGAAAUUUUGUGGUGUUAUUUUACCAUUUUUAGUGGCAUGGUAUCAAGUAUGAGUUGAUAAUGCAAUUUGGCUGAGGGAUCAGAUGCAAUCAACACUAACUCAACUUUCCCUGCAUUACUUCCCUAGUUGUACUGUCUCCCUCCUUGUCCUCUGGCCAUCUCUUCUUUUUUCCUCCUUUGUCUAUCUUUUCCCUUUUUUUUUAUCCCUAAUUCUGUACCUGUGAUUAUAUGUGUUUAUUUAACAAUGUUAUUUAUGGCAUGAGUGAUUAGAUCAAGAGGCACCUUUUUCUUGGGCAAACUAACUCGAGCACGCAGCCAUGGUAAUAGAGAGCCUGCUUGAGCUAGUAUUUUGCUCUUCCACAAAGUGUAGGUUGCACGUGUCUUACUCUAGACAAUUUGACAACUUGAUGAUUUUCCAAUUUGAAUUUCAAUUUUCGAAAGUAAUCUUUUGGGAAUGAAAAUGCAGGCUUUGAUGCAUAAAUUAAGAAAAUAGAAAUAUUCAGCCUAUGGGAUGCUAUAUUGCUACUCCAUGUGCCUAAACCCUGGAUGAUGAAUGCUAACCCUAUAAAAUAGGAGAGAUGCAAGUAUUUUAAUGUUAUAUUACUUAUGAUUAGAUUCUUUUAGCAAUUAUUGCAGGUUGCUUGGAAUCUGAAAAAGUAGAAAAUGCAAUUUCCCGUGAUUUAAGCUAAUGUGUCUUCUAAUCAAAUCUCAAUCUCCCAUAUGAUUUAUUAAUCCCAUUUGUUGUUUGGUGUUUCUACUAGUCCUAGUUACCCUUUCUGAUUCACUUUUUGUGCUGCUCUUUUCUACUGUUUUGUCCUUCGUCUAUUGUUUGAUGAAGCAG